UUAACCUUUGGUGACGUCAUGGAGAAUUCGCGCUGUUACCUUGAGAGUCAGACCGACACAUGCCGGAGUGGAAGCAGAACUGCGGGCGGCGGAAGGACAUAUGGCUUACGGAGAAUUUCUUUGAUUUGGGCGUCAUGUCAAAGAAGAGUUCAAAAGGAUCACAUGAGUGCAUCUGGAGCAAAACUUUUUGACACAGCUUGAUCCGUACACUCCCAAACUGCGGGAGAUGUUUAGGACAAAAGGCGGGGUUGCAGGACCAAAACAUAAGGCCUAUAUGCUGCAUUCACUCAGUCAGGAUGUCGGUAAAGACGGACUCAAAGAGGACUCUGCUGAAUAUCUCAUGAAGAUCUGUGUCCUCCAUGGAAGUGCAGGCUCCACCCUUGAAGGCCCCACCCCAUCAUCAAGGGAAUUGAGGUUCUUGAUGAUUGUAGAUCUGUGACAAACACUUGCCUUCUGCUCAUGGGCUUUAUCUAUGCACUGAACUUAAGUUUGAAGUGUUUCAGAAGCUCUUUCUUGAGCUUGAUUUCCUGAAGUUGUCUCCCAAAGUUCAGUCUUUGCGCAACAAACUUCGUAGCGCGAGUGUGUGCACGUAUGUUUCUGAUAUAUUUUUUUUUAACUUGAAGUUCAGAGGAAAUACUACUUCGUACAACUGCAUUUUGUAUAAUAUUCUGAUGAUGUUCUCAAACAUCAUCACUGGGGAUGUGGAGAUAUAGCAGAACGCGUGGUUAAAACAAGUAAACCUAAAAGAAAAUGCACUUGGUUCCUGGAAAUCUAUUUCACUUAGUUACUUUUUGGCAGCACCAAUAUAGGUGCAGAGUUUUCUAUGGGAAGCACCAGACUGUAUUAUGAAAAGCAUAAUAAAGGUGCUGUUGUUUAACAGUA
Molecule: long non-coding RNA, 882 nt
Organism: Solea senegalensis (Senegalese sole)
Lineage: Eukaryota; Metazoa; Chordata; Actinopteri; Pleuronectiformes; Soleidae
Exons: 3
Source: RefSeq, a predicted model, not a curated record